This 1356-nucleotide ribosomal RNA is filed under the name uncultured marine eukaryote. Its description in RNAcentral is "SSU rRNA". It matches the Rfam family "Eukaryotic small subunit ribosomal RNA", at positions 411 to 1779 of the family's 1831-position model. The record is from RNAcentral.
CACUUCUAAGGAAGGCAGCAGGCGCGCAAAUUACCCAAUCCUGACUCAGGGAGGUAGUGACAAGAAAUAACAAUAAACCGGCUUAUGCCGGUUUAAUUGGAAUGAGUACAAUUUAAACAUCUUAACGAGGAACAAUUGGAGGGCAAGUCUGGUGCCAGCAGCCGCGGUAAUUCCAGCUCCAAUAGCGUAUACUAAAGUUGUUGCAGUUAAAAAGCUCGUAGUUGGAUUUCUGUGGGGACGGAGCGGCCGGCCGCACAUCGCGGUUCGAGCUAGCGCUUUCCCUACAUCCUGCCGCGAACCGUGCUACCAUUAAUUUGGUGGCGCCGGGGAUCGGCUCGAUUACUUUGAGAAAAAUAGAGUGUUCAAAGCAGGCCACAUGCCUUGAAUAAGUUAGCAUGGAAUAAUAACUAAGGACUUCGGUUCUAUUUUGUUGGUGUUCGGGACUGAAGUAAUGAUUGAUAGGGACAGUUGGGGCGGUCUGUAUUCCAAAGCGAGAGGUGAAAUUCUUAGACCUUCGGAAGACGAACAGCUGCGAAAGCGUUCCGCAAGGAUGUUCCCUUUGAUCAAGAACGAAAGUUGGGGGAUCGAAGACGAUCAGAUACCGUCGUAGUCUCAACUAUAAACUAUACCAGCUAGGGAUCGGCCAACGUUAUUUUAUACCGACUUGGUCGGCACCUUAUGAGAAAUCAAAGCAUCUGGGUUCCGGGGGGAGUAUGGUCGCAAGGCUGAAACUUAAAGGAAUUGACGGAAGGGCACCACCAGCCGUGGAGCCUGUGGCUUAAUUUGACUCAACACGGGAAAACUUACCAGGUCCAGACAUAGUAAGGAUUGACAGAUUGAUAGCUCUUUCUUGAUUCUGUGGGUGGUGGUGCAUGGCCGUUCUUAGUUGGUGGAGUGAUUUGUCUGGUUAAUUCCGUUAACGAACGAGACCCCAGCCUGCUAAAUAGCGCGCGUGAGCUUUGCUCGCGGCGAGCUUCUUAGAGGGACUCUGAUGCGCGAUAGCACAUGGAAGUUUGGGGCAAUAACAGGUCUGUGAUGCCCUUAGAUGUUCUGGGCCGCACACGGGCUACACUGGCGCCUGCAACGAGCAUAUCAGCUGGCCCGAGAGGGUCUUGGCUAAUCUUUUGAACCGGCGCCGUGCUUGGGAUUGACCUUUGCAAUUGUUGGUCAUGCAACGAGGAAUGCCUUGUAAACGCGAGUCAUCAGCUCGCAUUGAAUACGUCCCUGCCCUUUGUACACACCGCCCGUCGCUCCUACCGAUGAAUGUUCCGAUGAAAUUUUCGGAGAGUGCCUGUGAACUUGGCUCUGCCUUGCGAACGGGAAGCUCAAAGUCACUUAAAUCUGAACAUUUCGAGG